UCAAUGUUGCUGUACACAUUCUCUUGAAA
RNAcentral lists this small RNA (29 nucleotides) under Bombyx mori (domestic silkworm). RNAcentral's name for it is "ovarian small RNA-24895". The record is from RNAcentral. Lineage: Eukaryota; Metazoa; Arthropoda; Insecta; Lepidoptera; Bombycidae.